GGUGAGUAAUGCCUAGGAAAUUGCCCUGAUGUGGGGGAUAACCAUUGGAAACGAUGGCUAAUACCGCAUGAUGCCUACGGGCCAAAGAGGGGGACCUUCGGGCCUCUCGCGUCAGGAUAUGCCUAGGUGGGAUUAGCUAGUUGGUGAGGUAAGGGCUCACCAAGGCGACGAUCCCUAGCUGGUCUGAGAGGAUGAUCAGCCACACUGGAACUGAGACACGGUCCAGACUCCUACGGGAGGCAGCAGUGGGGAAUAUUGCACAAUGGGCGCAAGCCUGAUGCAGCCAUGCCGCGUGUAUGAAGAAGGCCUUCGGGUUGUAAAGUACUUUCAGUCGUGAGGAAGGUAGUGUAGUUAAUAGCUGCAUUAUUUGACGUUAGCGACAGAAGAAGCACYGGCUAACUCCGUGCCAGCAGCCGCGGUAAUACSGASGGUGCGAGCGUUAAUCGGAAUUACUGGGCGUAAAGCGCAUGCASGUGGUUUGUUAAGUCAGAUGUGAAAGCCCGGGGCUCAACCUCGGAAUAGCAUUUGAAACUGGCAGACUASAGUACUGUAGAGGGGGGKAGAAUUUCMGGUGUAGCGGUGAAAURCGUMGAGAUCUSAACGGWAUACCSGUSGCSAAGGSGSCCCCCWGGAYAGAUACUKAMAMUYAGAURYKAAARCSYGGGGRGCAAACAGGAUUAGAUACCCUGGUAGUCCACGCCGUAAACGAUGUCUACUUGGAGGUUGUGGCCCUGAGCCGUGGCUUUCGGAGCUAACGCGUUAAGUAGACCGCCUGGGGAGUACGGUCGCAAGAUUAAAACUCAAAUGAAUUGACGGGGGCCCGCACAAGCGGUGGAGCAUGUGGUUUAAUUCGAUGCAACGCGAAGAACCUUACCUACUCUUGACAUCCAGAGAACUUUCCAGAGAUGGAUUGGUGCCUUCGGGAACUCUGAGACAGGUGCUGCAUGGCUGUCGUCAGCUCGUGUUGUGAAAUGUUGGGUUAAGUCCCGCAACGAGCGCAACCCUUAUCCUUGUUUGCCAGCGAGUAAUGUCGGGAACUCCAGGGAGACUGCCGGUGAUAAACCGGAGGAAGGUGGGGACGACGUCAAGUCAUCAUGGCCCUUACGAGUAGGGCUACACACGUGCUACAAUGGCGCAUACAGAGGGCGGCCAACUUGCGAAAGUGAGCGAAUCCCAAAAAGUGCGUCGUAGUCCGGAUUGGAGUCUGCAACUCGACUCCAUGAAGUCGGAAUCGCUAGUAAUCGUGGAUCAGAAUGCCACGGUGAAUACGUUCCCGGGCCUUGUACACACCGCCCGUCACA
This 1301-nucleotide ribosomal RNA is filed under the name Vibrio sp. RNAcentral's name for it is "partial 16S ribosomal RNA". It matches the Rfam family "Bacterial small subunit ribosomal RNA", at positions 105 to 1401 of the family's 1533-position model. The record is from RNAcentral. Lineage: Bacteria; Pseudomonadati; Pseudomonadota; Gammaproteobacteria; Vibrionales; Vibrionaceae.